RNAcentral lists this long non-coding RNA (360 nucleotides) under Monodelphis domestica (gray short-tailed opossum). RNAcentral describes it as "lncRNA (ENSMODG00000045478.1)". The record is from RNAcentral. Lineage: Eukaryota; Metazoa; Chordata; Mammalia; Didelphimorphia; Didelphidae.
GAAGGAGGAGUUUUUCUUGGGGCCAUUUCGAGACACCUUUGGGGAUUUAUGACACUGACAGAAAUGUUAACAUCACCAGUUCCUGUCAAGAACUCCAAUUUCUUCAAAGACGUUCACUAAGUUUCCAUGAACUAUUGAGAUAUAGGAUUCUAAUGGAAACCCAAAGCCAUAGCCAAAAGAAAAUUGAGGAUCACAAAUGGAAGGACAUACAAUGAAUCAAUUUGAGAAAUGUUGGAGGGGAAAAGAGAACAAGAAGAAAGAAAAAAUUUGUGAGACUAUGAAGAUGACAUGAAUAUAAGAGAUGUGUACAAACACAUCAGAGCUUGGCUGAAAAUAAGAGAUGGCACUGCUUCACUGUUG